RNAcentral lists this small RNA (798 nucleotides) under Pongo abelii (Sumatran orangutan). RNAcentral describes it as "retained intron". Lineage: Eukaryota; Metazoa; Chordata; Mammalia; Primates; Hominidae. The record is from RNAcentral.
GAGGAAGGGGCUCGGCAAAAGCUGCAGCUGGAAAAGGUGACAGCAGAGGCCAAGAUCAAGAAGAUGGAAGAGGAGAUUCUGCUUCUUGAGGACCAAAAUUCCAAGUUUAUCAAAGAAAAGAAACUCAUGGAAGAUCGCAUUGCUGAGUGUUCCUCUCAGCUGGCUGAAGAGGAAGAAAAGGCGAAAAACUUGGCCAAAAUCAGGAAUAAGCAAGAAGUGAUGAUCUCAGAUUUAGAAGAACGCUUAAAGAAGGAAGAAAAGACUCGUCAGGAACUGGAAAAGGCCAAAAGAAAACUCGACGGGGAGACAACCGACUUGCAGGACCAGAUCGCUGAGCUGCAGGCGCAGAUUGACGAGCUCAAGCUGCAGCUGGCUAAGAAGGAGGAGGAGCUGCAGGGCGCGCUGGCCAGGUCUGCGGCCCUGCAGCUGCACUGCACGGGAGCCCAUGGGGCUGAGUUUCAGCAGACUGUUAUGUUCGGGAGCAUCCAAAAACCCUGGGAGAGUGAGAUGGGGUUUACUUGCUGUUUGGUGUGACCUGAGAAAGUGAAAAGCCCAAGCGUACAGAAUUUGUGUCAGGGCAGCAAGAAAGUCUCAUAAACCAUCUCAGUAUUUAUACUUUAAAAUGACAAAUUAUACUAUGAAACCCUUGGAAAUUCACACCAGAACAAAUGAUUCCACUAUAACAAAUGUUUUGGUCUCUGUACAUUACAGAUUAACUGUAGUAUGUUUUAUUUACUUUUUUUUUUUGAAUGGAGUCUCACUUCUGUCACCCACGCUGGAGUGCAGCGGUGCAAUCUC